This 104-nucleotide ribosomal RNA is filed under the name Dromaius novaehollandiae (emu). The record is from RNAcentral. Lineage: Eukaryota; Metazoa; Chordata; Aves; Casuariiformes; Dromaiidae.
GUCUACAGCCACACCAUCCAGAACAUGACUGAUUUUGGAAACUAAGGAGGGCUGGGCCAUUUAUUCUUGAAUGGGAGACUGUCUUGGAAUACCAGGUGCUUACU